This 91-nucleotide ribosomal RNA is filed under the name uncultured bacterium. Its description in RNAcentral is "partial 16S ribosomal RNA". The record is from RNAcentral.
UGAGCAAUCUGCCCUUCUCUUCGGAAUAAGCGUGGGAAACCGCGUCUAAUGCCGAAUACGACCUCCUUUCGCAUGAUCGGAGGUGGAAAGC